AAGCAUCAUGAAAACCUAUCAACAUUUGCAAAGAAGCUUCCCAAGCCCAAAUCAACGCCAUGUUCAUCCAGCAUCUGCUGCGCAAGAAGUUUUUUUUUUUUUAUUUUCUGCGACACGCACAUUUACAGCAUCCUGGAUGAGUAAACACGCAUCUAUAAAACACAUUUCAUGUUGUGAAAUGAACACUUGACUGGGGGCGUGGCCUCCGUGACAACUCCAUGGCGUCACACUGUCACCGAGGCUGAAACCUCGUGCAGCAAAAGGGCGGUCAAUAUGACGGCAGACACCGAUCAGAGCGCACGAGGAACACGCUGCUGCCACCAACACACGCCCACGCUGGUCACGGAUGGCUGAAUCUCUGUGGGGGACUCGUCAAGACUGGACGGCCAGUUCGAAAGAGCACAGUGUGACAGGUGACACAAGGCUGAAAACAUCUGCACAGGCCUCUCAAACAAUACAAAAGGCAAGCUAUUUCUUCAACAAAAAGCUUAGAGGAAGGCUGUGGUGACUGUUGAAAUAGCUGAAACACUGAAAUCUAGAAAGGAUCUGCAACAUAGCUUAAACUUUAAGCCACUAAAUAUGAUUGAGUCAAGCUUUGGAAUGAAACAAACAUCAGCAUUCAGAAUUUAAGGACACGGAAAAUAUGUGACAGAAAGAAACCCAAAGAUAUUUUGGAUGUUAAGUAUUAACACAGUUAAUUGAGUUUAUUUAUCAAAUGUAACCCAUUAAUCAACUUGUAACUAAUAUAUUGCAAUAUGGUUUUUAAGGUACUUAAAGAAAAUAUUGAGGAUACACUUGAAAUUGAAAUGUCAAGAUACAAAAGGGCUUUCAUGCCAAGACACAAAUAUUGCAUGCAGAAAUUAAGGCGUUCAGUGUUUACAUUCGACCUCACUUCUCAAACUGCAAGUGGAGAGAAGAUUUUUUAAAUCUGAAGAGGGUUGACCUUUCUCCAGCGACAUAUAAGUUUGGCGUUAACAUAUUAGUUUAUGAGUUUUACUUGUUUGUUUUUUUCUCAUGAGGGCAGUUCACUUUAUUCAUCAAAAGUUAUUCAUGGCAUCAAACUGUGUGCCGCCUUACUGAACAGAUUUGGCCCAAAUAAAUUCAAUAUUUCACAUGCAAAUGUAUAAUGAUAAUUUAAAGAUCCCCUCAUGAAGUGAAUUUUCUGUCGUGGUUAAUCCUUCAUAAAGAGUUUGGUUGACCUUUGUUAUUCAUAUUAUUUAUGAAUGACAAAAAAUAGACCCUCAUAUUUUGAAGUAAUAAACUAAUUCAUUUUGACGUGCAAUUUCUAUUCUAUUUCUAUGCGACUGCGCUUGUGUGUAAGUCAUAUUAGUUACCCUGCCUGACCACUUGUUAAUUAUUAAAUAUGGUGAGCAAUAUAAUCAUCCAUGUCAUGGAUCUGUGACAUUCUAAACAGCUGUUAAAAUAUUUUAAAAUAAUAAUCCAGACGGUAUGUUUACAGCAUGUAAGAAUGAAAAGACAAAGGAACGGAAGACAAUGGAAAAUGGGUCACCGAGAACGAAUUAAAAACAUCAUGAAGGGUGUGUUGAAGUGAUGAUUGACAUGAAUAAUAAAAUUAUCUUCCUUGUGUCUGUCUCAUUUCCCCAUGUCAAUAAAGUGUUCUUGUGUGGUCUCUUUUU
Long non-coding RNA from Synchiropus splendidus (mandarinfish), 1637 nucleotides. RefSeq lists it as uncharacterized. The transcript is spliced from 3 exons. The record is from RefSeq and is a predicted model, not a curated record. Lineage: Eukaryota; Metazoa; Chordata; Actinopteri; Syngnathiformes; Callionymidae.